AUGCUCGCCUCGUUUUUGCUCUUUCUCUGCAAGCAAAUAAUUAGUAUUAAUAAGUAAAGAAAUCUUUACUGACUGCACAAAACAAUCUUACACUUUAAGCGACAUGGGAUAAUUAUGUAUAGGAUUCAGCUUACUUGUACCAAGAUUGCCACUCUCCUCAAUCGAGCUGAAGAUUUUGAUUGCUUUUGAUUUGGAAUUGUUGUGAUUUUUACCUGGAGCAUACUGGUGGCCAUCCAACAUCUGGUGCAGGAGCAGUCAUGAUUAUUGCAUUUAGCAACACAACAAUAAUAACAACGAAACAAAACUCAUAUCAGGAGAUCGCUAAACAUAACCGAAAUCUCCUAAACAGAUUCCAAACCUUUAAACCAACAUAAAGCAUGAGUUCGAAAGAAAAGAAUUUUCAGUUCUAGUAUUCUUGAGAGAGUAUGCUGAAGAAAAUAAAACGGAGAAACCUAGGAAGAUGAUAAUCUAUCUCUUGAUUUAUGUAGUCGAACAUUUCAAGGGGUUCUGGUAACGUAAGAAAUUGAAUCAAAAAGAUUGAAUGUUAAUAAUGGUUUUUGUAACCAGCAAACAAUGGGAGGAGAAUUGGUGGAAGUAAAACCCCUAAUUUAGGGCUUAAUUGGAUUUUAAUGGGAUUGUACCGAUUGGUGUUGAUUGGAUUUUGUAAUCGAAGAGGAGAAUAAGUAAAAAAAAUUAUCUUAGCCGUGGAAUUAGGGCUUAGAAAAGGGCUUCAUUCUCAGCCACGAUUUGUCUUUUCAAUUCUCAGACGAAUUGAAGACACAAAUCAGCAUAACAUACUGAGAAAUAAUCUGGGCGAACAGGGAACCACUAACACCUAAACCGAAAGUGAAGACACAAAUCAGCUCUAAAAUGGUAAUUGUUGCAUUUCUUGCCAAGGAAGCGGCAGCUGACGGACCAACCAUCUACUAGUAAUCCUACCACCACCAGCUCUGAUAGGAUUGUAGGGGGUGGUUCUGCCGAAGCUGGGGCAAAGAGGAAGAAAGUCGAAAGAACGGGAAGGUCUGGAGAACUGAAAUCAUCAACAGGAAUUAGUGAACCUGUGGUUGAAUUGGAGAAUAUGGACCAUUAUAAGACUAAGUGUAUUGAGUUGUCUGUGGAGCUUGAGAAGAAGGAAUUAGAGCUUGAGCAGAAGGAUUUGGAGCUUGAGAAGAUAAAAGGGGAGAAGAAAGUUGAGCUUGAGAAGAUAAAAGUGGAGCUUAAGAAGAAGAAAGUUGAGUGCACUAAACUCCAGGGUGAAUUAGCAGAGGUCAAAACCACAAAGACUGCUCCUAGAGAUGAGGAUGCAACUAAAUAUUGGAGGAACAAGUGCUCCGAUUUGGAGAGUCUAGUCAUGAGGAUGGAAAUUGAAUAUUCGACAAUGAGACGUAAAGCGUCUCGCCUUUCUAAUUUGGAGAGCCUAGUCCUGAGGAAUAGAAAUGAAGGUUCCAUAUUGAGAUGUGAAGAGUUUGUGUAAUUCUGAAAAAAAAAA
This is a long non-coding RNA of Papaver somniferum (opium poppy), 1489 nucleotides long. RefSeq lists it as uncharacterized. The transcript has 2 exons. Lineage: Eukaryota; Viridiplantae; Streptophyta; Magnoliopsida; Ranunculales; Papaveraceae. The record is from RefSeq and is a predicted model, not a curated record.